Molecule: transfer RNA, 74 nt
Filed under: Pictichromis paccagnellae (royal dottyback)
Lineage: Eukaryota; Metazoa; Chordata; Actinopteri; Pseudochromidae
Description: tRNA-Asp
Rfam family: tRNA
About the family: Transfer RNA (tRNA) molecules are approximately 80 nucleotides in length.
Source: RNAcentral
AAGAUACUAGUAAAACUAGUGAAUUGCGUUGCCUUGUCGAGGCGGAGUCGUGGGUUAAACCCCCACGUAUCUUA